RNAcentral lists this transfer RNA (77 nucleotides) under Actinobaculum sp. oral taxon 183 str. F0552. RNAcentral's name for it is "tRNA-Val". It matches the Rfam family "tRNA". From Rfam's summary of the family: Transfer RNA (tRNA) molecules are approximately 80 nucleotides in length. Their secondary structure includes four short double-helical elements and three loops (D, anti-codon, and T loops). Further hydrogen bonds mediate the characteristic L-shaped molecular structure. tRNAs have two regions of fundamental functional importance: the anti-codon, which is responsible for specific mRNA codon recognition, and the 3' end, to which the tRNAs corresponding amino acid is attached (by aminoacyl-tRNA synthetases). tRNAs cope with the degeneracy of the genetic code in two manners: having more than one tRNA (with a specific anti-codon) for a particular amino acid; and 'wobble' base-pairing, i.e. permitting non-standard base-pairing at the 3rd anti-codon position. Lineage: Bacteria; Bacillati; Actinomycetota; Actinomycetes; Actinomycetales; Actinomycetaceae. The record is from RNAcentral. RNAcentral also lists the same sequence under 3 other names.
GGGCCUGUAGCUCAGUCGGUCAGAGCACUGCGCUUACACCGCAGGUGUCGUCGGUUCGAGUCCGGCCGGGCCCACCA